UUUAAAGUGGCAGAAGUAUAAAUGCGUCGGAUUUAAGCUCCGGAGACGGGACCUAUAUCCCCUUUAAAA
This 69-nucleotide transfer RNA is filed under the name Planocera multitentaculata. RNAcentral describes it as "tRNA-leucine". It matches the Rfam family "tRNA". From Rfam's summary of the family: Transfer RNA (tRNA) molecules are approximately 80 nucleotides in length. Their secondary structure includes four short double-helical elements and three loops (D, anti-codon, and T loops). Lineage: Eukaryota; Metazoa; Platyhelminthes; Polycladida; Planoceridae. The record is from RNAcentral.